RNAcentral lists this ribosomal RNA (263 nucleotides) under uncultured bacterium. RNAcentral describes it as "partial 16S ribosomal RNA". It matches the Rfam family "Bacterial small subunit ribosomal RNA", at positions 524 to 778 of the family's 1533-position model. The record is from RNAcentral.
UACGUAGGGGGGCAAGCGUUUGUCCGGAAUCAUUGGGCGUAAAGCGCGUGUAGGCGGCCUUGUAAGUCCGUUCUGAAAGCCCGGGGCUCAACCCCGGGAGGCGGAUGGAUACUGCAAGGCUCGAGUACGGAAGAGGCGAGUGGAAUUCCUGGUGUAGCGGUGAAAUGCGCAGAUAUCGGGAAGAACACCCGUGGCGAAGGCGGCUACUCUGGGACGGUACUGACGCGUGAGACGCGGAAAAGCGGUGGGGGAGCGAACGAGGA